ACGCGAGGAACCUUACCAGGUCUUGACAUCCCAUUGACCGCUAUGGAGACAUAGCUUUCCCUUCGGGGACAAUGGUGACAGGUGGUGCAUGGUUGUCGUCAGCUCGUGUCGUGAGAUGUUGGGUUAAGUCCCGCAACGAGCGCAACCCUUGUUCUUAGUUGCCAUCAUUUAGUUGGGCACUCUAAGGAGACUGCCGGUGACAAACCGGAGGAAGGUGGGGAUGACGUCAAAUCAUCAUGCCCCUUAUGACCUGGGCUACACACGUGCUACAAUGGACGGUACAAACGGUUGCCAACCCGCGAGGGGGAGCUAAUCCGAUAAAACCGUUCUCAGUUCGGAUUGUAGGCUGCAACUCGCCUACAUGAAGCCGGAAUCGCUAGUAAUCGCGGAUCAGCAUGCCGCGGUGAAUACGUUCCCGGGCCUUGCACACACCGCCCGU
RNAcentral lists this ribosomal RNA (439 nucleotides) under uncultured bacterium. Its description in RNAcentral is "bacterial SSU rRNA". It matches the Rfam family "Bacterial small subunit ribosomal RNA", at positions 959 to 1397 of the family's 1533-position model. The record is from RNAcentral.